Carassius gibelio (silver crucian carp) is the source of this 2580-nucleotide long non-coding RNA. RefSeq lists it as uncharacterized. The record is from RefSeq and is a predicted model, not a curated record. NCBI's taxonomy places the organism in Eukaryota, Metazoa, Chordata, Actinopteri, Cypriniformes, Cyprinidae. The transcript is spliced from 4 exons.
GCGCUUCGGAGUCCCGAUCCGAAUCAAUUGUUUUGCGAACUCGCUCCGAGAUCUCAAGUUAUUUUCCAGUGAAAGUGUAAGCAUCUCAUCCCUAAAUAAGGGGAGUGUUAAUACUGAGAGCGUCCUCCGUGUUUCCUCAUGACGCGCUGGGGAAAAGGAACACCUGUGUGGCGUAAUUAGAGGGAAGCAUUAUGGAUGAUGUAUUGGUUGUCGCAGGAGGGUUUUUUGGGUUGUUACUGAUGAGUUCCUUGCCAAAGCUGCCGUGCCGGGACGUGGGUUUAAGAUUGUUGUGCGAAUCGAUCGGGAGGGAUAUUUUGCUGGGGUUUUCCCCGUUUACGUUUGGCGGCCGCUGUUGAGUUCACUGAACGCGGAACCCACGUCCGGUAGCGGGUAAGAAAGCCAGCAGUACAUGUUGUUUUUAUUAUUGUGUUUGAUGUUAAUGUCUGUUCCUGCUGUGUUUGCCGGGGAGGCCCUGAUGUGUGUGAACCCAAUGAUCCCCCGGCGCUAUUUGUGUGUAAAGGGAGUGUGUGUGUAAGGGUUAUCCUUUCCCAUACGCCUCCUAUACAGUUGACGACGGCUAGAUAUUUAGCACGAGUAUGAUUGACGGUUUGUGGUGAUCAAUAUUUGAUAUGCAUUUAUUGGUGUGAUAUUUAUGACUAUUAGGUUUUGCAGUGUAAUGAACAAAAAAAAAAAAAACUAAACUUAUUUAUCAUUUCAUAGUUUUCCCACUGACGAAAAUAAAAAAAGCAUUGAAAUUGGGCGACGACAGGAGGAGGCGACAAUUACUGUGAGGAAAGAUACUUUAGUGUGUGCUAAGCCCUUCACGGAGGAAGAGGUCCGUGUUUAACCGGAGUACGGUCGAUCUCGCACCGUGGGCUGUGCCUUCCAGGUUUGCGUGGAAAAGUUUGUGGUGCAGAGCAGUAAAUGUGGAGAUGUGCAGGAGCACGAUUACAACAGCCGUCCAGUCCCAGUGUUCUUGCUGAGGCAUGGGAAAAAUAAAGGAGCUGGAAAAAACACCUGCUAGUGACAUCAGCGUCGUCUACACACCUGCUAGUGACAUCAGCAUCAUCUACACACCUGCUAGUGACAUCAGCGUCGUCUACACACCUGCUAGUGACAUCAUGCUUCUCUUCACCUGCUAGUGACAUCAUGCUCCUCCUCACCUGCUAGUGACAUCAGCAUCAUCUACUCACCUGCUAGUGACAUCAGCAUCAUCUACUCACCUGCUAGUGACAUCAGCAUCAUCUACACACCUGCUAGUGACAUCAGCAUCAUCUACACACCUGCUAGUGACAUCAGCAUCAUCUACACACCUGCUAGUGACAUCAGCAUCAUCUACACACCUGCUAGUGACAUCAGCAUCAUCUACUCACCUGCUAGUGACAUCAGCAUCAUCUACUCACCUGCUAGUGACAUCAGCAUCAUCUACACACCUGCUAGUGACAUCAGCAUCAUCUACACACCUGCUAGUGACAUCAGCGUCAUCUACACACCUGCUAGUGACAUCAGCAUCAUCUACUCACCUGCUAGUGACAUCAGCAUCAUCUACUCACCUGCUAGUGACAUCAGCAUCAUCUACUCACCUGCUAGUGACAUCAGCAUCAUCUACACACCUGCUAGUGACAUCAGCAUCAUCUACACACCUGCUAGUGACAUCAGCGUCAUCUACACACCUGAUAGUGACAUCAGCGUCAUCUACACACCUGAUAGUGACACCAUGCUUCUCUUCACCUGCUAGUGACUUGUCUGCUUUGUGAUAAGCAAAUGUUGCUAUCUUCCAAUUCUGAACACAUCAGAAAUCACCAACCCCUCCUGACAUAUCUUUCCAGUUUGGGUUUUGCAUGGUCCCCAAUAAACUCAACGUGGGAUGCCUCUCCGAUCUCUUUCACAUCAGGGAACUUAACCUCUACCAGGCCACAGGGAGGUUCUUCAUUUGGGUCCACCACUUUGCCAUCUGCACCAAGGUGUGGAGCAUCAGGGUGGAUGAUGAGACCAGAUGGAAGAACGUUAACGUCAAAGGUCUCCUCAUAGCAGUGAAGAACCUCUGGCUCAAGUUUGAAUCCUCUACACAUCGCUCUCUAGAGACCCCGACAGAUGUUUACACACACUGUUUAAUACAAGAUAUAAAUGCAUUUAACCUGCAAUUACAAAUGCAUAAUGUUUUGAUGUUUUAAUCCCAAAAUGUUGAAUACUGAUAUUUGCAAUGAUAAAAGAAAGAUAGUGCUUUAAGAGGUGAAAUUAAAAACACCAAUAUCUAGACAAUCAUGAAUUGUAACAUCACUUCCUUUAAUGUUUUUACUAUAGAGUUGAUAUGGAAUUUGUAUUGUGUUGAAAUGCUUAUACAAGAUAAAUAUGUAGUUAACUUUAAAGUAUAUCUACAUUUCUUGGUAUAUGAACAUUCUGAGUGAUUUUAUUACACUAAUAUACAAUCAGACAUCCCAAUUUCUAUUUUGGUAAAGUCAUUAAGUGUCAUGUCAUUCAGAUGAAUUAGAAUUUAAUUUGGGGUCCUGAAAUACCCUGAACACUGCACAGAGGUUAAGAUGACCAUUGCUACAUAAAUAAAAUAAAAAUUGAAACUCA